AAUCUGGAGACAGGUGGCUGCAUGGCUGUCGUCAGCUUGUGUCGUGAGAUGUUGGGUUAAGUCCCGCAACGAGCGCAACCCUUGCCUUUAGUUGCCAGCAGUUCGGCUGGGCACUCUAAAGGGACUGCCGGUGUUAAACCGGAGGAAGGUGGGGAUGACGUCAAGUCCUCAUGGCCUUUAUGACCAGGGCUACACACGUACUACAAUGGCCGAUACAAAGGGCAGCGACACUGCGAGGUGAAGCCAAUCCCGUAAAAUCGGUCUCAGUCCGGAUUGGAGUCUGCAACUCGACUCCAUGAAGUUGGAAUCGCUAGUAAUCGUGGAUCAGCAUGCCACGGUGAAUACGUUCCCGGGCCUU
RNAcentral lists this ribosomal RNA (358 nucleotides) under uncultured Desulfobulbus sp. RNAcentral's name for it is "bacterial SSU rRNA". It matches the Rfam family "Bacterial small subunit ribosomal RNA", at positions 1025 to 1382 of the family's 1533-position model. The record is from RNAcentral. Lineage: Bacteria; Pseudomonadati; Thermodesulfobacteriota; Desulfobulbia; Desulfobulbales; Desulfobulbaceae.